GGGCUGGGGGGGGGUGGCUACACAUGCAGUCGAACGAUGAACUCCAGCUUGCUGGGGGGAUUAGUGGCGAACGGGUGAGUAACACGUGAGUAACCUGCCCUGGACUCUGGGAUAACCCCGAGAAAUCGGAGCUAAUACCGGAUAGGACCUGGAACCGCAUGGUUUUGGGUGGAAAGUUUUUUCGGUCUGGGAUGGACUCGCGGCCUAUCAGCUUGUUGGUGAGGUAAUGGCUCACCAAGGCGUCGACGGGUAGCCGGCCUGAGAGGGUGACCGGCCACACUGGGACUGAGACACGGCCCAGACUCCUACGGGAGGCAGCAGUGGGGAAUAUUGCACAAUGGGCGAAAGCCUGAUGCAGCAACGCCGCGUGAGGGAUGACGGCCUUCGGGUUGUAAACCUCUUUUAGUAAGGAAGAAGGGGAGCUUGCUCCUUGACGGUACUUGCAGAAAAAGGACCGGCUAACUACGUGCCAGCAGCCGCGGUAAUACGUAGGGUCCGAGCGUUGUCCGGAAUUAUUGGGCGUAAAGAGCUCGUAGGCGGUUUGUCACGUCUGCUGUGAAAUCCCGAGGCUCAACCUCGGGCCUGCAGUGGGUACGGGCAGACUGGAGUGCGGUAGGGGAGAUUGGAAUUCCUGGUGUAGCGGUGGAAUGCGCAGAUAUCAGGAGGAACACCGAUGGCGAAGGCAGAUCUCUGGGCCGUAACUGACGCUGAGGAGCGAAAGCGUGGGGAGCGAACAGGAUUAGAUACCCUGGUAGUCCACGCCGUAAACGUUGGGCGCUAGAUGUGGGGACCAUUCCACGGUUUCCGUGUCGUAGCUAACGCAUUAAGCGCCCCGCCUGGGGAGUACGGCCGCAAGGCUAAAACUCAAAGGAAUUGACGGGGGCCCGCACAAGCGGCGGAGCAUGCGGAUUAAUUCGAUGCAACGCGAAGAACCUUACCAAGGCUUGACAUAUACGAGAACGCUGCAGAAAUGUUGAACUCUUUGGACACUCGUAUACAGGUUGUGCAUGGCUGUCGUCAGCUCGUGUCGUGAGAUGCUGGGUUAAGUCCCGCAACGAGCGCAACCCUCGUCGUAUGUGCAGCACGUAAUGUGGGACCUCAUAUGAGAACUGCGGGUCACCUCGGAAGGAAGGUGCGAUGACGGCCAUAUUCAUUCAUGUUCCUAUGGCCUUGGGCUUCACAGCAACGCUAUAC
RNAcentral lists this ribosomal RNA (1194 nucleotides) under Agromyces sp. RNAcentral's name for it is "bacterial SSU rRNA". It matches the Rfam family "Bacterial small subunit ribosomal RNA", at positions 33 to 1230 of the family's 1533-position model. The record is from RNAcentral. Lineage: Bacteria; Bacillati; Actinomycetota; Actinomycetes; Micrococcales; Microbacteriaceae.